CCUACGUGUGGCAGCAGUGAGGAAUAUUGGUCAAUGGGCUUACGCCUGAACCAGCCAAGUCGCGUGAGGGAAGACUGCCCUAUGGUUUGUAAACCUCUUUUGUCAGGGAGCGAAUGACGCUACGUGUAGCGUUCUCGAGAGUACCUGAAGAAAAAGCACCGGCUAACUCCGUCCCAGCAGCCGCGGUAAUACGGAGGAUGCGAGCGUUAUCCGGAUUCAUGGGGGUUAAAGGGUGCAUAUGCGGAAUGCCAAGUCAGCGGUAAAAUCGCGGGGCUCAACCUCGGUCCGACGUGGAGACUGGCGUGGUUGAGUGGGCGAGAGGUAUGCGGAAUGCGUGGUGUAGCGGUGAAAUGCAUAGAUAUCACGCAGAACUCCGAUUGCGAAGGCAGCAUACCGGCGCCCAACUGACGCUGAAGCACGAAAGCGUGGGUAUCGAACAGGAUUAGAUACCCGAGUAGUC
Molecule: ribosomal RNA, 460 nt
Filed under: uncultured bacterium
Lineage: Bacteria
Description: partial 16S ribosomal RNA
Rfam family: Bacterial small subunit ribosomal RNA
Source: RNAcentral